This 1396-nucleotide ribosomal RNA is filed under the name uncultured organism. RNAcentral's name for it is "bacterial SSU rRNA". It matches the Rfam family "Bacterial small subunit ribosomal RNA". The record is from RNAcentral.
AACGCUAGCGGCAGGCUUACACAUGCAAGUCGAGGGGUAACGAUUCUGAGCAAUCGGAAGUCGACGACCGGCGCACGGGUGAGUAUCGCGUAUGUAACCUACCUUUGACUGGAGAAUAGCCCGAAGAAAUUCGGAUUAAUACUCCAUAAAACUGUGAGAAGGCAUCUUUUUACAGUUAAAGCUUCGGCGGUCUUAGAUGGGCAUGCGUAACAUUAGCUAGUUGGUGAGGUAAUAGCUCACCAAGGCUACGAUGUUUAGGGGGUCUGAGAGGGUGGUCCCCCACACUGGUACUGAGACACGGACCAGACUCCUACGGGAGGCAGCAGUGAGGAAUAUUGGUCAAUGGGCGAAAGCCUGAACCAGCCAUGCCGCGUGAAGGAUGACGGCCCUAUGGGUUGUAAACUUCUUUUAUACGGGAAGAAACCCCUCUACGUGUAGAGGGCUGACGGUACCGUACGAAUAAGCAUCGGCUAACUCCGUGCCAGCAGCCGCGGUAAUACGGAGGAUGCAAGCGUUAUCUGGAUUUAUUGGGUUUAAGGGUGCGUAGGCGGAAAAUUAAGUCAGUGAUGAAAUCCUGCAGCUUAACUGUAGAAUUGUUAUUGAUACUGAUUUUCUUGAAUACAGUUGAGGUAGGCGGAAUGUGUAAUGUAGCGGUGAAAUGCUUAGAUAUUACACAGAACACCGAUUGCGAAGGCAGCUUACUAAACUGUGAUUGACGCUGAGGCACGAAAGCGUGGGGAGCGAACAGGAUUAGAUACCCUGGUAGUCCACGCUGUAAACGAUGAUCACUCGUUGUUGGCAAUACAUCGUCAGCGACUGAGCGAAAGCAUUAAGUGAUCCACCUGGGGAGUACGAUCGCAAGAUUGAAACUCAAAGGAAUUGACGGGGGCCCGCACAAGCGGAGGAACAUGUGGUUUAAUUCGAUGAUACGCGAGGAACCUUACCUGGGCUUAAAUGCAUAACGACGGACCGGGAAACUGGUCUUUCUUCGGACGGAAUGCAAGGUGCUGCAUGGCUGUCGUCAGCUCGUGCCGUGAGGUGUCGGGUUAAGUCCCAUAACGAGCGCAACCCUCAUCAUUAGUUGCCAGCGGGUAAUGCCGGGGACUCUAAUGAAACUGCCGGUGUAAACCGAGAGGAAGGUGGGGAUGACGUCAAGUCAGCACGGCCCUUAUGUCCAGGGCUACACACGUGUUACAAUGGUCAGUACAAAGGGCAGCUACCAGGCAACUGGAUGCUAAUCUCUAAAACUGGUCUCAGUUCGGAUCGGAGUCUGCAACUCGACUUCGUGAAGUUGGAUUCGCUAGUAAUCGCGCAUCAGCCAUGGCGCGGUGAAUACGUUCCCGGGCCUUGUACACACCGCCCGUCAAGCCAUGGAAGCCGGGGGUACCUGAAGUUC